AGCUUGGUGGAAAAUAAUUGCAGUUUUGCCAUUAAAACUAAUGCACAAACUGCAAUUACUUUUGCACCAAUCU
Molecule: microRNA precursor, 73 nt
Filed under: Callithrix jacchus (white-tufted-ear marmoset)
Lineage: Eukaryota; Metazoa; Chordata; Mammalia; Primates; Cebidae
Description: microRNA cja-mir-548i precursor (cja-mir-548i-2)
Gene: cja-mir-548i-2
Source: miRBase by way of RNAcentral